AUGAACCGUUAUAACCGGCGAUUUCCGAAUGGGGAAACCCAGUGUGUUUCGACACACUAUCAUUAACUGAAUCCAUAGGUUAAUGAGGCGAACCGGGGGAACUGAAACAUCUAAGUACCCCGAGGAAAAGAAAUCAACCGAGAUUCCCCCAGUAGCGGCGAGCGAACGGGGAGGAGCCCAGAGCCUGAAUCAGUGUGUGUGUUAGUGGAAGCGUCUGGAAAGGCGCGCGAUACAGGGUGACAGCCCCGUACACAAAAAUGCACAUAUUGUGAGCUCGAUGAGUAGGGCGGGACACGUGGUAUCCUGUCUGAAUAUGGGGGGACCAUCCUCCAAGGCUAAAUACUCCUGACUGACCGAUAGUGAACCAGUACCGUGAGGGAAAGGCGAAAAGAACCCCGGCGAGGGGAGUGAAAAAGAACCUGAAACCGUGUACGUACAAGCAGUGGGAGCCUCUUAAUGGGGUGACUGCGUACCUUUUGUAUAAUGGGUCAGCGACUUAUAUUCUGUAGCAAGGUUAACCGAAUAGGGGAGCCGAAGGGAAACCGAGUCUUAACUGGGCGUUAAGUUGCAGGGUAUAGACCCGAAACCCGGUGAUCUAGCCAUGGGCAGGUUGAAGGUUGGGUAACACUAACUGGAGGACCGAACCGACUAAUGUUGAAAAAUUAGCGGAUGACUUGUGGCUGGGGGUGAAAGGCCAAUCAAACCGGGAGAUAGCUGGUUCUCCCCGAAAGCUAUUUAGGUAGCGCCUCGUGAAUUCAUCUCCGGGGGUAGAGCACUGUUUCGGCAAGGGGGUCAUCCCGACUUACCAACCCGAUGCAAACUGCGAAUACCGGAGAAUGUUAUCACGGGAGACACACGGCGGGUGCUAACGUCCGUCGUGAAGAGGGAAACAACCCAGACCGCCAGCUAAGGUCCCAAAGUCAUGGUUAAGUGGGAAACGAUGUGGGAAGGCCCAGACAGCCAGGAUGUUGGCUUAGAAGCAGCCAUCAUUUAAAGAAAGCGUAAUAGCUCACUGGUCGAGUCGGCCUGCGCGGAAGAUGUAACGGGGCUAAACCAUG
RNAcentral lists this ribosomal RNA (1058 nucleotides) under Escherichia coli. RNAcentral describes it as "partial 23S ribosomal RNA". It matches the Rfam family "Bacterial large subunit ribosomal RNA", at positions 90 to 1191 of the family's 2925-position model. The record is from RNAcentral. Lineage: Bacteria; Pseudomonadati; Pseudomonadota; Gammaproteobacteria; Enterobacterales; Enterobacteriaceae.